GGCUGGUCGCAAGAAGUGAACGUCCUAGGCUGGUUUGACAGGAACUGACUCAGACUGGCGAAGUGAUUGCCACCCUGCUGGAAAUUGCCUUGCUGAUGAUUGGCUCUCUCCUGGAUCAACUGUAACAGCAUCUGAGUAUUUGCAUUGGUAGCUGCCAUCAUCGCCUGCCAGGCCUCUGCAGGAGGAGGCGGCGGCGGUGGCGGAGGAGG
This 209-nucleotide long non-coding RNA is filed under the name Hordeum vulgare. RNAcentral describes it as "long non-coding RNA (HVUL_LNC005143)". The record is from RNAcentral. Lineage: Eukaryota; Viridiplantae; Streptophyta; Magnoliopsida; Poales; Poaceae.